Folsomia candida is the source of this 400-nucleotide long non-coding RNA. RefSeq lists it as uncharacterized. The transcript is spliced from 2 exons. The record is from RefSeq and is a predicted model, not a curated record. NCBI's taxonomy places the organism in Eukaryota, Metazoa, Arthropoda, Collembola, Entomobryomorpha, Isotomidae.
GGUAAUAAAAAUGUGAAUAUUAAUUUCCUGUCCUCGUUCGUUCUUCAUUUCCCAGCCCAGUUUGUCAUUGUCACUCGUUUAUCCGGGUGAGAUUCGGUCGUCGGUAGACGUGACAGAAAAUAAUUUAUUGUCUUUUACUCAUUUCUUGUAUGUAUGUAGGUAUUGCUUCCAAUGUGGCAGAUGAUAGUAAGUAAGUAUAAAGAAAUAGACGACAUCCUCUUGUAAGUAAACAGUCCUUUUAUCUCCGUCGUCGUCAUCAUCAUCGUCAAACCUCAAAGGAAAGAUUUGAAUAAGAUACACUAUUAAUUCUACGUAUAAAUAAUCAACGAACCAUUUCAACAAAUAUCUAAACACACUCCUGUCCUGUUAAAAUAAAAUAGUAGAAUGAAAAUGAAACACA